GACGAACGCUGGCGGCGUGCUUAACACAUGCAAGUCGAACGGAAAGGCCCUGCUUUUGUGGGGUGCUCGAGUGGCGAACGGGUGAGUAACACGUGAGUAACCUGCCCUUGACUUUGGGAUAACUUCAGGAAACUGGGGCUAAUACCGGAUAGGAGCUCCUGCUGCAUGGUGGGGGUCGGAAAGUUUCGGCGGUUGGGGAUGGACUCCCGGCUUAUCAGCUUGUUGGUGGGGUAGUGGCUUACCAAGGCUUUGACGGGUAGCCGGCCUGAGAGGGUGACCGGCGACAUUGGGACUGAGGUACGGCCCAGACUCCUACGGGAGGCAGCAGUGGGGAAUAUUGCACAAUGGGCGGAAGCCUGAUGCAGCAACGCCGCGUGCGGGAUGACGGCCUUCGGGUUGUAAACCGCUUUCGCCUGUGACGAAGCGUGAGUGACGGUAAUGGGUAAAGAAGCACCGGCUAACUACGUG
RNAcentral lists this ribosomal RNA (468 nucleotides) under uncultured bacterium. Its description in RNAcentral is "partial 16S ribosomal RNA". It matches the Rfam family "Bacterial small subunit ribosomal RNA", at positions 28 to 507 of the family's 1533-position model. The record is from RNAcentral.